Molecule: transfer RNA, 68 nt
Filed under: Ixodes nuttallianus
Lineage: Eukaryota; Metazoa; Arthropoda; Arachnida; Ixodida; Ixodidae
Description: tRNA-Asp
Source: RNAcentral
AAAAACUAGUUAAAAUUUUACAAAAUAACAUUAGAAUGUCAAUCUAAAAUUACUUUCCAGUGUUUUUU